Cornus florida is the source of this 1577-nucleotide long non-coding RNA. RefSeq lists it as uncharacterized. The record is from RefSeq and is a predicted model, not a curated record. The transcript has 2 exons. NCBI's taxonomy places the organism in Eukaryota, Viridiplantae, Streptophyta, Magnoliopsida, Cornales, Cornaceae.
CGACCCAUAUCUUAUACUCUCAUCUCUCUCUUUCUAUCAGCUCCUCGUUGUCGUUGCAGAGAGGGGUUUAGAAUUGCAGUGACGCCGUACUCUUGAAGCUAAGGACGACGAGAUCAGCGAAAUCAACGGCUUGAUCGUGCCGGCGCGAGCGAUCUUGAUUCGGUUCUCGGACUUGUUCUUGGCGAGGAGCCUGAUCUCCAUCGCCGCUUGCUUUUGAUCCUCGAUUGAGCUCGCCUCGAGGCCGGAGACGAGUUGCGUGAUCAGCUCAUCGGAAUUCUCCGUAUCGUAGGCGACCAAGAAUCGCCGGCCCUGAGACGACGCCGUUGAGAACUCGCCAGAUCGGUCGCUGUUGCAGUCACUGAAGUGUGCAGAAUCGUCGUUGAAGCGCAGAUCGUUCAAGCGCAGGUUGAUUAACAAUUGGUCGGCGUUUAAUCGGAAUUGUUGGGUAUCUCUAGGAAGGGGUAAUGGGGAAGUGAAAACGACCUCGUUUGGAUGAAGUUGUAAAAGAGUUAUAAACCUCAAUUUUUUUAACCGGAGGCACAUCGAUCUCCAACGAAGGCCUGCGAUGGUUGAAGCUCGACUGGUUCAAAGUGAUUUGAGGAGAAGUUUUGGCAGAGGGUGGAAGAAAGAAAAGGCAUUGGUCGGAAAGCACUGAGGAUCCUGAAAGGACUGUAGAAUUAGAGUCUUGUCCAGAUUACUACUCCAAGGAGGAGAAGCUAGCUAUAUUCGAGUUUGUUCCCGAUGGAGAUUUGUUUGAGCUCGUUAGUUCUAGCUUUCCUUCUUUUUGUUCUCGUCAAGGAAAUGCAUAGCUUGAUUGACAUAUAAGAUAGUAAUAGAUUAAUUUGAUAAUUAUUUGACUUGCAAAUAUUUUGGGUACCUAUUGGUAGAGAACAGAGGAGUUGGAAGAGUACCAUUGAAUUGGGUAACAAGGCUAUCUAUAAUCAAAGACGUAGCAAAGGGUCUCAAUUUUCUACACCAAUCCUUGCCUUCACACAAGGUACCUCAUGCCAACCUUAAAUCUUCAAAUGUACUUCUAAUGAAACGCGACAACCAAACCUACCAGUCGAAGCUCACAGACUUUGGCUUCUUGCCCCUCCUGCCAUCGCGAAGAUCCUCCCAAAAGCUGGCUGUUGGGAAAGUACCCGAAUUCUCUCUAGGGAAGAAGUUGACACACAAAGCCAAUGUGUACUGUUUCGGCAUUAUUGUUCUAGAGAUCAUUACUGGGAAAAUCCCAAGUCAAAUCUCAGGUGGAAUUGAAAAUGAGUUGGUGAUAAGAGUGUACAGACAUGGCACCGGAGAGGAGGCCAAAGAUAAGUGAAGUGUGGAGAGAAGAAUAGAAGAUAUUAUUCAUCAGCAGACAAGUGAAGGAACAGAAUCAUUAAAUUAAAUAGAUGGUGAUGUAGAGUUAGUUACAUAAGAAUAGCUUUUUCCAUUAAUUCUUUGAACAGCUUUUGUUUGUGCUUGGUUGAAACUUGUACUAUUUUGAAUUGCUGUAAUUGUGAUUCUGUUUUCUGGUUUUCAACGAAAUUGUCAUGUUUUUACCUCAAAUUGUGGUUUCAGUUUCAUUUUUAUUAAAA